This 490-nucleotide ribosomal RNA is filed under the name uncultured bacterium. Its description in RNAcentral is "partial 16S ribosomal RNA". It matches the Rfam family "Bacterial small subunit ribosomal RNA", at positions 30 to 507 of the family's 1533-position model. The record is from RNAcentral.
AUUGAACGCUGGCGGCAGGCCUAACACAUGCAAGUCGAACGGUCACAGGAAGCGGUUUGCUGCUUUGCUGACGCGUGGCGGACGGGUGAGUCAUGUCUGUGACCCUGCUUGAUGGCGGGGGAAACCUCCUGAAACCGGUAGCUAAUACCGCAUAUCGUCGCAACACCAUGGUGGAGGACCUAAGGGCCUCUUGCCUUCGGAUGUGAGCAGAUGGCAUUAGCUAGUAGGUGGGGUAACGGCUCACCUAGGCGACGAUCCCUAGCUGGUCUGAGAGGAUGACCAGCCACACUGGAACUGAGACACGGUCCAGACUCCUACGGGAGGCAGCAGUAGGGAAUAUUGCGCAAUGGGCGAAAGCCUGAUGGAGCCAUGCCGCGUGUAUGAUGAAGGUCUUCGGGUUGUAAAAUACUGUCAUCAGGGAAGAAGAGAGGUGAAAGUAUAUCUUCACUCAUUGACGUUACCCGCACAGGAAGCACCGGCUAACUCCGUG